This 1512-nucleotide long non-coding RNA is filed under the name Daucus carota (carrot). RNAcentral describes it as "long non-coding RNA (DCAR_LNC004480)". Lineage: Eukaryota; Viridiplantae; Streptophyta; Magnoliopsida; Apiales; Apiaceae. The record is from RNAcentral.
UCCUCAUAAGUCUCUCUAACUAACCCUAAUUCUAAUCUAAUAUUGUACAAUGAUAAAAACUAGUCCUCCCUCUCAUAAUAUAUGUCUUUUAAUAUUUAAAAUAUAUAUAUAAAUAAAACUCCAAAACCAAGUAGGAUUUAGUCUCAAAAUUCGCAGCUUUCUGUUCUGUCCAGUUUUCGGGCUUUUCCAGUUGGACUUUGCAUCUUGGACCACUUCUGAAUUAAAGGAAAUAUCAAGGGCUUCGCGUGGGCUGUAAGAUCGUCCAAAUCCGACAUCUGGAACUCAAGAUAUGGCCCAAACAGUGUAGAAAUCGGGUAAAACCCAAUAAAUCCGAAUUUUAAUAGAAAUUAGCUCCAAAGUAGCUAAUUUAUCUUCAAAUCCUUCUCAACUUGGAAUUCUUUAUUUCCUACAAUAAAACAAUAAAAUCUAUUAAAUAAAUAUCCAAAUCAGUGCAAAAUAUAAUUAAAUAUGAGAAUAAAAUCAUAUAGAAUAUAUAUAAAAAUAUAUUCUAUCACAUAUUAAUGAUAAUGUUGGUUUAGGUAAUUUUCUAUAUUUAUAAUUUUUAGACUAUUGGAUAGCCAGUAUGGAAGUAGAGUUUUGGGAAUGAACGGCAAUAUGGAUGCUUCACACAAUGUGUGUUGAAUAGUGAGUAUGGAAGUAGGCGUUUUGGAGAUGAAUGGCCGUAGGGGUGGGAAAUAAAACUUGAAGCUAAAAACCAUGAUCGUGUAUUCGUGUUGAUGUAGGUAAAAAUUAAUUGUUAAAGACAGAGAUGAAUGAUAGAAACUGAAACAAUUCACAGAGCUCACAAUUUUGAAAAAUAAGCAAUUUUUUUAGUGUAAUGAGCUUAAUAAAAUGAUUGUCUUUGUCAUACCAAAAAAGGGAUUCAUGAGCUUCGAAAACGAAAAGAGGCAAAGAAAGUAUUAAGGGCAAAUAUUGUAGCAAAUUCAGUAGUUGCAACAUCAGGUGCUCAGCAGCCAUGGAGCUCCAGACAUAAUAUCUUGUUAUUUUGAAUGUGCGCUACUUGCCUCAUCCUCAGUGAGAUGUUGCAGACAUUUUCCCUUCAAAUUGUAACAGUGAUCUGCUUGUCGUGGCAAAACUCUCGUUCUGCACGUUUGUUUUUGAGGUGUGGGGAGGAGGGCGAUCAGGUCUGACAAUGCUCCUGUCCAUUUUUUGCGUCAGUGCAGAACCAUUGAAGCUGAUUUAUAGUGUUAGUAACUUUGAGGAGUGUGGGAAGGAAAAGUGAGACCUGAGCUUUCCAGAUACGCGUUCACGUUAAUUCAGCCAUUUGUUCUUCACAAUUGUCAGUUGAUUGCCACAAAUUCCCACUUUCUGGCUAGCAUCAAUUUUCAGUUGAGGACACCCCUAACAAUAAUGAAAUCUGCCAGAAUUAACUGUGACACAAGGACUCACAACUCACAAGUCCGCAGAUAGUAGCAAGUGUACUGUGGUAGAUUGAUCAACUAGAAAUUAACUGAUUGCAGAAGUAUCGUGUUUGUUUUUUCUGGAUUGGAU